Molecule: ribosomal RNA, 408 nt
Filed under: uncultured bacterium
Lineage: Bacteria
Description: partial 16S ribosomal RNA
Rfam family: Bacterial small subunit ribosomal RNA
Source: RNAcentral
GACGAACGCUGGCUGCGUGCUUAACACAUGCAAGUCGAACGAAGUGGCGAACGGGUGAGUAAUACGUGAGUAACCUGCCCUCCUUUUUGGGAUAAGCCUUGGAAACGGGGUCUAAUACCGAAUAAAGGGGGAUGGGCUCGCGGGCUCUCAGCUUGUUGGUGGGGUGAUGGCCUACCAAGGGGUUGCCGGGUAGCCGGCCUGAGAGGGUGACCGGCGACAUGGGGAUUGAGGUACGGCCCAGAAUACGACGGGAGGCAGCAGUGGGGGAUAUUGCACAAUGGGCGAAAGCCUGAUGAAGCUACGCCGCGUGGGGGAUGAAGGAUUUCGGGUUGUAAACCGCUUUCGCUAUAGAACGGGUAGGUGGAGAAGAAGCGCCGGCUAACUACGUGCCAGCAGCCGCGGUAAUAC